RNAcentral lists this ribosomal RNA (490 nucleotides) under uncultured bacterium. Its description in RNAcentral is "partial 16S ribosomal RNA". It matches the Rfam family "Bacterial small subunit ribosomal RNA", at positions 30 to 507 of the family's 1533-position model. The record is from RNAcentral.
AUUGAACGCUGGCGGCAGGCCUAACACAUGCAAGUCGAACGGUAACAGGAAGAAGCUUGCUUCUUUGCUGACGAGUGGCGGACGGGUGAGUAAUGUCUGGGAAACUGCCUGAUGGAGGGGGAUAACUACUGGAAACGGUAGCUAAUACCGCAUAACGUCGCAAGACCAAAGAGGGGGACCUUCGGGCCUUUUGCCAUCGGAUGUGCCCAGAUGGGAUUAGCUAGUAGGUGGGGUAACGGCUCACCUAGGCGACGAUCCCUAGCUGGUCUGAGAGGAUGACCAGCCAACACUGAACUGGGACACGGUCCAGACUCCUACGGGAGGCAGCAGUGGGGAAUUUUGGACCAAGGGCGGCAGCCUGAUGGCGCCAUGCCGGGUGGAUGAAGAAGGGCUUCGGGUUUUAAAGUACUUUCCGCGGGGAGGAAGGGAGUAAAGUUAAUACCUUUGCUCAUUGACGUUACCCGCAGAAGAAGCACCGGCUAACUCCGUG